Molecule: long non-coding RNA, 485 nt
Organism: Haliotis rufescens (red abalone)
Lineage: Eukaryota; Metazoa; Mollusca; Gastropoda; Lepetellida; Haliotidae
Exons: 3
Source: RefSeq, a predicted model, not a curated record
UUCUCGAAUCCACUGACGUCACACUCUACGCCAAUCUUCGUGUGGGUCCGGAAACAACUCGGGCAUUUCUCAAGGGCAUUCUGAAGCACGUGCAGCUGCUGAAGUCGCGUCAUCGCAACUACCUCGUGAUCUGUGGCCGAAUCUGCAUCACCGAUGUUAUCGAUGUGGUGAACAAUCUUGACACGGAGUCAUGCCAUAUAACUUAUACACGCCGUCAAUCACGAUGGCUGGUUAUGGAGUCACCUUAUAUGGCGUCGUCUGACGGAUUUCCAGAUCUGAUGUCAUUGGGGAAUCAACUGGAUAACCUCGCUGUAAUGAACCACACAGCGGAUGAUAUUGAGGUGAACACGCUGAUGUGGGUCCCUGGGGGGCGACAGUGGCGCCAGGUCAACAUGGAGACGUGCAGGGAAAACUGCGCCCUGGCUGCUCAAAUAUUUCCCAACAGCAUUACGGGAUAUAAUGGGCGACAGUUAACUGUUGCAUUG